UGACUGAGCGGCGGACGGGUGAGUAACGCGUGGGUAACCUGCCUCAUACAGGGGGAUAACAGUUAGAAAUGACUGCUAAUACCGCAUAAGACCACAGCACCGCAUGGUGCAGAGGUAAAAACUCCGGUGGUAUGAGAUGGACCCGCGUCUGAUUAGCUGGUUGGUGGGGUAACGGCCUACCAAGGCGACGAUCAGUAGCCGGCCUGAGAGGGCGACCGGCCACAUUGGGACUGAGACACGGCCCAAACUCCUACGGGAGGCAGCAGUGGGGAAUAUUGCACAAUGGGGGAAACCCUGAUGCAGCGACGCCGCGUGAAGGAAGAAGUAUUUCGGUAUGUAAACUUCUAUCAGCAGGGAAGAAAAUGACGGUACCUGACUAAGAAGCCCCGGCUAACUACGUGCCAGCAGCCGCGGUAAUACGUAGGGGGCAAGCGUUAUCCGGAUUUACUGGGUGUAAAGGGAGCGUAGACGGAGAGGCAAGUCUGAUGUGAAAACCCGGGGCUCAACCCCGGGACUGCAUUGGAAACUGUUUUUCUAGAGUGUCGGAGAGGUAAGCGGAAUUCCUAGUGUAGCGGUGAAAUGCGUAAAUAUUAGGAGGAACACCAGUGGCGAAGGCGGCUUACUGGACGAUGACUGACGUUGAGGCUCGAAAGCGUGGGGAGCAAACAGG
This 670-nucleotide ribosomal RNA is filed under the name uncultured Lachnospiraceae bacterium. RNAcentral's name for it is "bacterial SSU rRNA". It matches the Rfam family "Bacterial small subunit ribosomal RNA", at positions 88 to 776 of the family's 1533-position model. The record is from RNAcentral. Lineage: Bacteria; Bacillati; Bacillota; Clostridia; Lachnospirales; Lachnospiraceae.